RNAcentral lists this transfer RNA (85 nucleotides) under Felis catus (domestic cat). It matches the Rfam family "tRNA". Rfam says of the family: Transfer RNA (tRNA) molecules are approximately 80 nucleotides in length. The record is from Rfam by way of RNAcentral. RNAcentral also lists the same sequence under 3 other names. Lineage: Eukaryota; Metazoa; Chordata; Mammalia; Carnivora; Felidae.
GCCUGGGUGGCUCAGUCAGUUGAGUGUCUGACUUCAGCUCAGGUCAUGAUCUCACAGUUUGUGGGUUCGAGCCCCAUGUGAGGCU